RNAcentral lists this ribosomal RNA (756 nucleotides) under uncultured bacterium. RNAcentral describes it as "bacterial SSU rRNA". It matches the Rfam family "Bacterial small subunit ribosomal RNA", at positions 8 to 796 of the family's 1533-position model. The record is from RNAcentral.
AGAGUUUGAUCAUGGCUCAGAAUCAACGCUGGCGGCGCGCCUAACACAUGCAAGUCGAACGAGAAAGUGGAGCAAUCCAUGAGUAAAGUGGCGUACGGGUGAGUAACACGUGGAUCAUCUGCCCUUUUGUGGGGAAUACCGAUGGGAAACCGUCGACAAUACCGCAUAAGCCCGAGAGGGGAAAGCAGCAAUGCGCAGAAGGAGGAGUCCGCGGUCGAUUAGCUAGUUGGUAGGGUAAUGGCCUACCAAGGCUGUGAUCGAUAGCCGGCCUGAGAGGGCACACGGCCACACUGGCACUGAAACACGGGCCAGACUCCUACGGGAGGCAGCAGUGGGGAAUCUUGCACAAUGGGGGCAACCCUGAUGCAGCGACGCCGCGUGAGCGAUGAAGCCCUUCGGGGUGUAAAGCUCUUUCGGCAGGGAAGAUUAUGACGGUACCUGCAGAAGCAGCUGCGGCUAACUACGUGCCAGCAGCCGCGGUAAUACGUAGGCAGCAAGCGUUGUUCGGAGUUACUGGGCGUAAAGGGUGCGUAGGCGGCCCUGUAAGUAUGGUGUGAAAUCUCCCGGCUUAACUGGGAGGGUGCGCUAUAGACUGCGGGGCUCGAGUGUGGGAGAGGAAAGUGGAAUUCCUGGUGUAGCGGUGAAAUGCGUAGAUAUCAGGAGGAACACCGGUGGUGUAAACGGCUUUCUGGACCAUAACUGACGCUGAGGCACGAAAGCGUGGGUAGCAAACAGGAUUAGAUACCCUAGUAGUCC